GGUAAGAGGUGUAGGUCAUAUCUCAUCUGUCCAGGUGAGAGGUGUAGGUCAUAUCUCAUCUGUCCAGGUGACAGGUGUAGGUCAUAUCUCAUCUGUCCAGGUGACAGGUGUAGGUCAUAUCUCAUCUGUCCAGGUGACAGGUGUAGGUCAUAUCUCAUCUGUCCAGGUGACAGGUGUAGGUCAUAUCUCAUCUGUCCAGGUGAGAGGUGUAGGUCAUAUCUCAUCUGUCCAGGUGACAGGUGUAGGUCAUAUCUCAUCUGUCCAGGUGACAGGUGUAGGUCAUAUCUCAUCUGUCCAGGUGAGAGGUGUAGGUCAUAUCUCAUCUGUCCAGGUGAGAGGUGUAGGUCAUAUCUCAUCUGUCCAGGUGACAGGUGUAGGUCAUAUCUCAUCUGUCCAGGUGACAGGUGUAGGUCAUAUCUCAUCUGUCCAGGUGACAGGUGUAGGUCAUAUCUCAUCUGUCCAGGUGAGAGGUGUAGGUCAUAUCUCAUCUGUCCAGGUAAGAGGUGUAGGUCAUAUCUCAUCUGUCCAGGUGACAGGUGUAGGUCAUAUCUCAUCUGUCCAGGUGAGAGGUGUAGGUCAUAUCUCAUCUGUCCAGGUGAGAGGUGUAGGUCAUAUCUCAUCUGUCCAGGUGACAGGUGUAGGUCAUAUCUGAUCUGUCCAGGUGACAGGUGUAGGUCAUAUCUGAUCUGUCCAGGUGAUAUGGGUG
Molecule: long non-coding RNA, 706 nt
Organism: Oncorhynchus keta (chum salmon)
Lineage: Eukaryota; Metazoa; Chordata; Actinopteri; Salmoniformes; Salmonidae
Exons: 5
Source: RefSeq, a predicted model, not a curated record